Molecule: ribosomal RNA, 253 nt
Filed under: uncultured bacterium
Lineage: Bacteria
Description: partial 16S ribosomal RNA
Rfam family: Bacterial small subunit ribosomal RNA
Source: RNAcentral
UACGUAGGGUCCGAGCGUUGUCCGGAAUUAUUGGGCGUAAAGGGCUCGUAGGCGGUUCGUCACGUCGGGAGUGAAAACUCGGGGCUUAACCCGGAGCCUGCUUCCGAUACGGGCAGACUAGAGGUAGGCAGGGGAGAGCGGAACUCCUGGUGUAGCGGUGGAAUGCGCAGAUAUCAGGAAGAACACCGGUGGCGAAGGCGGCUCUCUGGGCCUUACCUGACGCUGAGGAGCGAAAGCGUGGGUAGCGAACAGG